GUUAAAACACCGCUUCCCGUAUGACCACCGAAGUUAAGCAACGCCCAUUCUGGUUAGUACCUAGAUGGGUGACCGCUGAAGAGUACCAGGUGCUGGC
Acanthosepion pharaonis is the source of this 97-nucleotide non-coding RNA. Lineage: Eukaryota; Metazoa; Mollusca; Cephalopoda; Sepiida; Sepiidae. The record is from the annotation of a GenBank genome assembly.